GAUAUCAACUGAAAAAGUCAUCAACAACAAAGUUGAAUAACUUAUCAAGAUCUAAAACUUUUAUUUUGGUCAUUUGUUCAUACAACAAAGUGAUAGUAACAUUGUUCACAAAAUUGACAUAUCUCUUAUCUGGUUUAUAAACUAUAACACAUAUAUGUAAAAUUUGUGAAUAAUGUUACUAACAUUUUGUUGGAUGAAGAAAUAAUAAAAAUAAAAGUUUUAGAUCUUGAUGAGUUAUUCAACUUUGUUGUUGAUGACUUUUUCAAUUGAAAUC
This 274-nucleotide microRNA precursor is filed under the name Oryza sativa Japonica Group (Japanese rice). Its description in RNAcentral is "MIR821 microRNA precursor family". It matches the Rfam family "MIR821 microRNA precursor family". The record is from Rfam by way of RNAcentral. Lineage: Eukaryota; Viridiplantae; Streptophyta; Magnoliopsida; Poales; Poaceae.